GAGGGAAUAGCUCAGUGGUAGAGCGCGUGCUUAGCACGCACGAGGUCCUGGGUUCAAUCCCCGGUACCUCCG
RNAcentral lists this transfer RNA (72 nucleotides) under Camelus bactrianus (Bactrian camel). It matches the Rfam family "tRNA". From Rfam's summary of the family: Transfer RNA (tRNA) molecules are approximately 80 nucleotides in length. Their secondary structure includes four short double-helical elements and three loops (D, anti-codon, and T loops). The record is from Rfam by way of RNAcentral. RNAcentral also lists the same sequence under 1 other name. Lineage: Eukaryota; Metazoa; Chordata; Mammalia; Artiodactyla; Camelidae.